GUAUCGGCAUACUGGGCGUAAGCGUACGCAGGCGGUUUGUUAAGCGAGAUGUGAAAGCCCCGCGCGCUCAACCUGGGAACUGCAUUUCGAACUGGCAAACUAGAGUGUGAUAGAGGGUGGUAGAAUUUCAGGUGUAGCGGUGAAAUGCGUAGAGAUCUGAAGGAAUACCGAUGGCGAAGGCAGCCACCUGGGUCAACACUGACGCUCAUGUACGAAAGCGUGGGGAGCAAACGGGAUUAGAUACCCCGGGAUACCGCUCCGUUUGCGAUGUCUAGGCCUGCUCGGAGCCUCGGUUCUGUUUUUGAAGCUAACGCAUUAAGUAGACGCAR
This 329-nucleotide ribosomal RNA is filed under the name uncultured Pseudoalteromonas sp. RNAcentral describes it as "bacterial SSU rRNA". It matches the Rfam family "Bacterial small subunit ribosomal RNA", at positions 552 to 873 of the family's 1533-position model. The record is from RNAcentral. Lineage: Bacteria; Pseudomonadati; Pseudomonadota; Gammaproteobacteria; Alteromonadales; Pseudoalteromonadaceae.